RNAcentral lists this transfer RNA (69 nucleotides) under Urocitellus parryii (Arctic ground squirrel). RNAcentral's name for it is "Spermophilus parryii (Arctic ground squirrel) tRNA". It matches the Rfam family "tRNA". Rfam says of the family: Transfer RNA (tRNA) molecules are approximately 80 nucleotides in length. Their secondary structure includes four short double-helical elements and three loops (D, anti-codon, and T loops). Further hydrogen bonds mediate the characteristic L-shaped molecular structure. tRNAs have two regions of fundamental functional importance: the anti-codon, which is responsible for specific mRNA codon recognition, and the 3' end, to which the tRNAs corresponding amino acid is attached (by aminoacyl-tRNA synthetases). tRNAs cope with the degeneracy of the genetic code in two manners: having more than one tRNA (with a specific anti-codon) for a particular amino acid; and 'wobble' base-pairing, i.e. permitting non-standard base-pairing at the 3rd anti-codon position. Lineage: Eukaryota; Metazoa; Chordata; Mammalia; Rodentia; Sciuridae. RNAcentral also lists the same sequence under 3 other names. The record is from Rfam by way of RNAcentral.
GGGGUUGUGGCUCAGUGGUAGAGUGCUUGCCUUGCAUGUGUGAGGCACUGGGUUCAAUCCUCAGCACCA